UUGGAUCUGGGUAUUGUUCUUCUUUCCUAGACGCUCAUUCCCUUGUCGUAUUUCUGGCCUCCCUCCCCCAUUCCUCAACCUCACCAUUCAUCUCUCAAUAUUGAGGGAUUGAGUUGAUUUUACGGUGUCUGAAGCAAAAAAGAACGUGAUAAUUGAUGUUGAGCUUUGUGAAUCAUUCUCUACAGUUAGCAUAAUUUUUUGUUGCUUAUUGGUGCAGAAUAUGAAGGGUUGAUGGCUUGCUAGACAAAGAAAGUCGUGUUAGGGAACUACUUAUGGGAAAAGAUGACGAGACAGCAAAAAGGGUAGAGGUAAUUAUGAGGCUCUCGGGCCAUGUUAAGUUAAUGGUCAUACACAGACCACUGAGAAAAGGAAGAAUAAAAUACCUUAACUAAGAAGCUCUUUGGGAUGUUAUAAAAACAAAGAAAAGGAGGAACAGAGGAAAGGAAAAUGUUGAUCCCAAUACUUGCAUUCCUUCAACAAAGAA
Humulus lupulus (European hop) is the source of this 484-nucleotide long non-coding RNA. RefSeq lists it as uncharacterized. The transcript has 4 exons. The record is from RefSeq and is a predicted model, not a curated record. NCBI's taxonomy places the organism in Eukaryota, Viridiplantae, Streptophyta, Magnoliopsida, Rosales, Cannabaceae.